AUUGAACGCUGGCGGCAUGCUUUACACAUGCAAGUCGAACGGCAGCGGGGGCUUCGGCCUGCCGGCGAGUGGCGAACGGGUGAGUAAUGCAUCGGAACGUGCCCAUGUCGUGGGGGAUAACGUAGCGAAAGCUACGCUAAUACCGCAUACGCCCUGAGGGGGAAAGCGGGGGAUUCUUCGGAACCUCGCGCGAUUGGAGCGGCCGAUGUCGGAUUAGCUAGUAGGUGAGGUAAAGGCUCACCUAGGCGACGAUCCGUAGCGGGUCUGAGAGGAUGAUCCGCCACACUGGGACUGAGACACGGCCCAGACUCCUACGGGAGGCAGCAGUGGGGAAUUUUGGACAAUGGGCGCAAGCCUGAUCCAGCCAUGCCGCGUGAGUGAAGAAGGCCUUCGGGUUGUAAAGCUCUUUCGGCCGGGAAGAAAUCGUGGUCUCUAACAUAGGCCAUGGAUGACGGUACCGGACUAAGAAGCACCGGCUAACUACGUGCCAGCAGCCGC
Molecule: ribosomal RNA, 498 nt
Filed under: uncultured bacterium
Lineage: Bacteria
Description: bacterial SSU rRNA
Rfam family: Bacterial small subunit ribosomal RNA
Source: RNAcentral